Molecule: ribosomal RNA, 479 nt
Filed under: uncultured Alphaproteobacteria bacterium
Lineage: Bacteria; Pseudomonadati; Pseudomonadota; Alphaproteobacteria
Description: bacterial SSU rRNA
Rfam family: Bacterial small subunit ribosomal RNA
Source: RNAcentral
CGGAUACGCCCUUAUGGGGAAAGGUUUACUGCCGGAAGAUCGGCCCGCCGUCUGAUUAGCUACUUGGUGGGGUAACUGCCUAUCCAAGGCGACAAUUCAGCAUCUGGUCUGAGACGAUGAUCAGCCACUCUGAGACUGAAGACCCGGCCCACACUCCUACGGGAAGGCAGCAAUGGGGAAUAAUGGACAAUGGGCGCAAGCAUGAUCCAGCCAUGCCGCGUGAGUGAUGAAGGCCUUAGGGUUGUAAAGCUCUUUUAUCCGGGACGAUAAUGACGGUACCGGAGGAAUAAGCCCCGGCUAACUUCGUGCCAGCAGCCGCGGUAAUACGAAGGGGGCUAGCGUUGCUCGGAAUCACUGGGCGUAAAGGGCGCGUAGGCGGCGUUGUAAGUCGGGGGUGAAAGCCUGUGGCUCAACCACAGAAUGGCAUUCGAUACUGGGACGCUUGAGUAUGGUAGAGGUUGGUGGAACUGCGAGUGUAG